RNAcentral lists this ribosomal RNA (497 nucleotides) under uncultured bacterium. Its description in RNAcentral is "partial 16S ribosomal RNA". It matches the Rfam family "Bacterial small subunit ribosomal RNA", at positions 28 to 507 of the family's 1533-position model. The record is from RNAcentral.
GAUGAACGCUGGCGGCGUGCCUAAUACAUGCAAGUCGAGCGAACGGACGAGAAGCUUGCUUCUCUGAUGUUAGCGGCGGACGGGUGAGUAACACGUGGAUAACCUACCUAUAAGACUGGGAUAACUUCGGGAAGCCGGAGCUAAUACCGGAUAAUAUUUUGAACCGCAUGGUUCAAAAGUGAAAGACGGUCUUGCUGUCACUUAUAGAUGGAUCCGCGCUGCAUUAGCUAGUUGGUAAGGUAACGGCUUACCAAGGCAACGAUGCAUAGCCGACCUGAGAGGGUGAGCGGCCACACUGGAACUGAGACACGGUCCAGACUCCUACGGGAGGCAGCAGUAGGGAAUCUUCCGCAAUGGGCGAAAGCCUGACGGAGCAACGCCGCGUGAGUGAUGAAGGUCUUCGGAUCUUAAAACUCUGUUAUUAGGGAAGAACAUAUGUGUAAGUAACUGUGCACAUCUUGACGGUACCUAAUCAGAAAGCCACGGCUAACUACGUG